UUAUGGGCUAACCCUAGAGGGUAGCUAUGUAGAUGUCUUACAUGGGCCUAUUGGGCCCUAAUACACAUAGUACACCAACAGUACCGACGAAUUUGUGAUAAAUGUGUAUAUCAGACGAAUUUGUCGAGUGAAAAUCUGGAAUGAGGACCUGAGUUUUAGAUUCAUUUUGUCUGCACUUGUUAUCCAGAACUACCAGUAGAUAGUAAAUACUAGCUCCGG
This 219-nucleotide long non-coding RNA is filed under the name Setaria italica (foxtail millet). RNAcentral describes it as "long non-coding RNA (SITA_LNC000825)". Lineage: Eukaryota; Viridiplantae; Streptophyta; Magnoliopsida; Poales; Poaceae. The record is from RNAcentral.